RNAcentral lists this microRNA precursor (152 nucleotides) under Malus domestica (apple). Lineage: Eukaryota; Viridiplantae; Streptophyta; Magnoliopsida; Rosales; Rosaceae. The record is from RNAcentral. RNAcentral also lists the same sequence under 1 other name.
AAGAUAAGAGCCAGUCAGACAAGCCGAAGGACAACUUGCUUAUCUAGAAAUCCUAAUAUAUAUAGGCUCAAGCGUUAACUUGUCAGUAACUUUUGCACAUAUGAGAUCUAAUUAGGCAAGUCAUCCCUGGCUACCAAACAUGGCUCUUCACC